This is a small nucleolar RNA of Sphaerodactylus townsendi, 133 nucleotides long. RefSeq annotates it as small nucleolar RNA SNORA13. The transcript has a single exon. NCBI's taxonomy places the organism in Eukaryota, Metazoa, Chordata, Lepidosauria, Squamata, Sphaerodactylidae. The record is from RefSeq and is a predicted model, not a curated record.
UGCCUUCAGUGUUGCCCAUUCAUCUUGACUGCUAGUGAAUGUGGUGUCUGAGAAGGCGCAGAUCAAGCUCCCCCUUGCAGCUUUUUCACAUAUAGGAGUCAUUCCUACUAGGUCUGCUGCCAGUGGGACAGUA